UCCGAAGGGGCCGGACGGUCAAUUGCUCCCGGCCGCCAUGCAGAGAUGGCGGGCCCCCGCGCCCCCGUCCCCAACCCUUUGCUGACCAAAACCUUUUUGCCUCGGGGGCAGAGCGUCCGCCGCCGCCCCCGGAGGACCGCCGAACGCUGUCUCUGUACGUCGGAGGAUUGAUUGAAUGAAUGAAAACUUUCAACAACGGAUCUCUUGGUUCUGGCAUCGAUGAAGAACGCAGCGAAAUGCGAUAAGUAAUGUGAAUUGCAGAAUUCAGUGAAUCAUCGAAUCUUUGAACGCACAUUGCGCCCUUUGGCAUUCCGAAGGGCAUGCCCGUUCGAGCGUCAUUAAAUCCAAUCAAGCCUGGCUUGGUAUUGGGCGUCGGGGGUCUCCCGCGCCUCAAUUUCACCGGCUGGCCGUCGUCUGUCGUAGCGUUGUGAUAUACCUCUCGCUACCGAUGGGACCGGAUCAUGCCGUUAGAAUCUCGCAAAUUUCAAUCGAAAUUUGAUUAAGGUUGAC
RNAcentral lists this ribosomal RNA (510 nucleotides) under uncultured fungus. RNAcentral describes it as "eukaryotic LSU rRNA". The stretch from base 185 to 338 matches the Rfam family "5.8S ribosomal RNA". Lineage: Eukaryota; Fungi. The record is from RNAcentral.